RNAcentral lists this ribosomal RNA (324 nucleotides) under uncultured eukaryote. RNAcentral describes it as "partial 18S ribosomal RNA". It matches the Rfam family "Eukaryotic small subunit ribosomal RNA", at positions 1470 to 1796 of the family's 1831-position model. The record is from RNAcentral.
CCCUUAGAUGUUCUGGGCUGCACGCGCGCUACACUGAUGCGAUCAACAAGUUUUUCCUAUGUCGAUAGACACGGGUAAUCUUUUGAACUCGCAUCGUGAUGGGGAUAGAUUAUUGUAAUUAUUAAUCUUCAACGAGGAAUUCCUAGUAGGUGCAAAUCAUCAGUUUGCAUCGAUUACGUCCCUGCUCUUUGUACACACCGCCCGUCGCUGCUACCGAUUGGUUGAUCUGGUGAAUUAUUCGGACUGCCGGCUGAAGGGGUUUCCUCAUCUGCCAGCGGAAAGUCUUGUUAACCCUAUCAACUAGAGGAAGCAGAAGUCGUAACA